This is a long non-coding RNA of Mirounga angustirostris (Northern elephant seal), 1320 nucleotides long. RefSeq lists it as uncharacterized. The transcript is spliced from 3 exons. Lineage: Eukaryota; Metazoa; Chordata; Mammalia; Carnivora; Phocidae. The record is from RefSeq and is a predicted model, not a curated record.
CAUGAGAGGGGGGAGGGUUAGAGGGAGAAACAGGCUCCUUGCCAAGCAGGGAGCCCGAUGCGGGACUCUAUCCAGGGACUCCAGGAUCAUGACCCGAGCCGAAGGCAGUCGCCUAACCAACUGAGCCACCCAGGCGCCCUUCCUUUUCUUUUAAAGAUGUUUCUGUUCCUCUUCCCCUAGUCUGUUUCAUUUCUGUCUUAUCUCUAGGCUUAGGCCCCUCCACACGUGCAAGGACAAGAACCCUGUGAUUGGCCGGUAGAGGUGAUGCUUUCCUCAAGGAGCUAGGCCAGAGGUGUGUGCUGAGGCUGAGUGGCUUCAGUUGGGUCAGGGCCCCUGUAGAACAGGGUCACACUGUCCCAUUGUCUUGAAACUUUGUGGGUGAGAUUUCUCCUUUGCCCCACAGAGAGUUAGCAGCCUGGUGCUUCAAGAAGCUUCCAGAUGGGUCAGGCGAACAUCCUGCUGUGCCACGGUGACCUUGAUGUCAGGGCGCCCUGACAUGUGAGCCGGUUGAAGUCCCAGCCAAGGGCCUGAGGAGCGAAGGGCAGAUGAAGCCUAGAGGCUCGGAGAAAGGGCAGAUGAUUCAGAAAGUGACACUUGGAGUAGAAUUUUGCAGGCUCCUGUGCCUGACUGAUAGUAUUCCAGUUAAUGGCUGUGCCACAGUUUGUUUAUAUAUCCUCAGCUGAAGGAAAUUUGAGUUGUUUCCAGUCUGGGGAGAUGAUGAAUAAAGCUGCUAUGAACCUUUGUGUUCAGGUUGUUGUGUGAACUUAAGUGUUCAUGACUCUUGCAUCAUAUGAUGAAGAAACUGAAGCACAGAGAGGCUAAGUAACUUGAUGCUAAUAUGCAGAGUCCACACACUCAGCCCAAGGCAGAAUGAAGGAACAAAGGAAUAAGUGAAUGAAGACGUAAAGAAUUUAUUUCCACUGUGACAGCAGGUGUAAGUUGGUUGAAAAUAUGAAGCAGUCUUGAUUAGCUGGACCGAUACGUGUUAUAAAGAGUUACUUAACAUAUGUGGUCCUCAGCGGAGAGCAUGGGGAUCCAGUGAUGGGAAUUCCUGGAAGCAGAGGUGUUCCUGAGGGUGCCAGAAAAACUGAUGUGUCAAAUUUCAUUCAACAUCUUCUUCCUCAGCCUGGAUUUUUAUGGAUCUGCUCUACAUGCAACAAUUUUUACAUAGAGGUUUCUUCAGUGUAAUAGCUACUGAUAGGCUUUUCAACUCCAUUCUUUAAUUAUAUUGUCCACUGUACCAUCUCUGGGAAACUAGGGAAUUUUGGAGAAAGCUGAAAUUCAUUUCAAAAGUUAUGAAUCUUGUAUAAUUCAUUUAUU